GAUGAACGCUGGCGGCGUGCCUAAUACAUGCAAGUCGAGCGAACAGACGAGGAACUUGCUCCUCUGACGUUAGCGGCGGACGGGUGAGUAACACGUGGAUAACCUACCUAUAAGACUGGGAUAACUUCGGGAAACCGGUGCUAAUACCGGAUAAUAUAUUGAACCGCAUGGUUCAAUAGUGAAAGACGGUUUUGCUGUCACUUAUAGAUGGAUCCGCGUCGCUUUAGCUAGUUGGUAAGGUAACGGCUUACCAAGGCGACGAUGCGUAGCCGACCUGAGAGGGGGACGGGCCAAACUGGAACUGGGACACGGUCCAGACUCCUACGGAAGGCAGCAUAAGGGAAUCUCCCGCAAUGGGCGAAAGCCUGCCGGAGAAACGCCGCGGGAGGGAUGAAGGUCUUCGGAUCGUAAAACUCUGUUAUAAGGGAAGAACAAAUGUGGAAGUAACUAUGCACGUCUUGACGGUACCUAAUCAGAAAGCCACGGCUAACUACGUG
RNAcentral lists this ribosomal RNA (497 nucleotides) under uncultured bacterium. RNAcentral's name for it is "partial 16S ribosomal RNA". It matches the Rfam family "Bacterial small subunit ribosomal RNA", at positions 28 to 507 of the family's 1533-position model. The record is from RNAcentral.